GAUGAACGCUGGCGGCGUGCCUAAUACAUGCAAGUCGAGCGAACGGACGAGAAGCUUGCUUUUCUGAUGUUAGCGGCGGACGGGUGAGUAACACGUGGAUAACCUACCUAUAAGACUGGGAUAACUUCGGGAAACGGGAGCUAAUACCGGAUAAUAUUUUGAACCGCAUGGUUCAAAAGUGAAAGACGGUCUUGCUGUCACUUAUAGAUGGAUCCGCGCUGCAUUAGCUAGUUGGUAAGGUAACGGCUUACCAAGGCAACGAUGCAUAGCCGACCUGAGAGGGUGAUCGGUCACACUGGAACUGAGACACGGUCCAGACUCCUACGGGAGGCAGCAGUAGGGAAUCUUCCGCAAUGGGCGAAAGCCUGACGGAGCAACGCCGCGUGAGUGAUGAAGGUCUUCGGAUCGUAAAACUCUGUUAUUAGGGAAGAACAUAUGUGUAAGUAACUGUGCACAUCUUGACGGUACCUAAUCAGAAAGCCACGGCUAACUACGUG
This 497-nucleotide ribosomal RNA is filed under the name uncultured bacterium. RNAcentral describes it as "partial 16S ribosomal RNA". It matches the Rfam family "Bacterial small subunit ribosomal RNA", at positions 28 to 507 of the family's 1533-position model. The record is from RNAcentral.